AUGUUUUUACGCACCGCGUUUUUGCUCCCGACGCUUUUAUUUUUGACAACUUUGGAGUCAUCAGGAUGCUUUCAGACUGUGGUCCAGCCGAGCAAAGGCUCCACUGUGACGGUGUCCACCACGCUGCCUUUGGCUCAGUGUGCGGUGUGCACGGUCAGUGGGGACAACCUCACUUCCUGUCACUCCAUCCUGUCUCUGGUGCCUGAAGCGGAAGUUAAACUGCUCUUCAACUGCUCCCAGCCCCUGGAUCAGUCGUUCACAGUGACGGUUAAUCAUUCCAUCGAUUGCACUGACAAAUCGUGCCAGCCUCAGACAAUAGGAGUGCAGUCAUCCAUCCUGACAAAGUUCCCCAGAACCUUCAACUGGGAGGUGACAGCCCCUGGGGAGACCGUCGUGACCCUGGACAUCCUUGGAGAGGGGCUCAAGGAGACGUCACAGCCGUGCUCCGGUGGUCUGGAGUAUUCUGUGGCAGCAUCCAAAACCAACAACAAAGGCCUGACUCGGUACUGUAAAGCUGGGGACGUGACGCGACUGAACCUGCUGGAUCAAGCUCUUGUGUCUAUUCACGUAAAACCAGAGACCGUUGUGGAGUCUGUGCUGUUUCAGGCCUCCGCAGGACCCCUGGAGGCGCCCAAAAUGGACAUAACGGUUGGUCCAAGUUCAACAGUAGUCCUCAUGAAUAACCAGAAGUUAGGCAUUUGUAAAGUUUGCACUCAAGAAGGCCCCUUGCCUCAUUGCACCUCGCCAGGGCAAACGCUGACCAGCGGCAGACAGGUCACUGUGGAGUUCCUAUGCCUCAGACCGCAGGAUGUGAUCAGUGUAACCAUGAUGACAAAAAUGGAUUGCACACAGACUUCCUGCAAUCCUGCUGCUGCAGAGGUGGAUCCAAACUUCUUCAAGGACUUUAACAGAACCCUAACUUGGGAUGUCAGCGUCCCUGAGAGGACAGUUUUAAAUGUGAGCUUUCCUGUUGGUGGAGUUAAGGAGAUCAGUCAAGGAGAAACGUGCCGAGAUGGUUACCAGUACACAGUCAGUUUAACUAAGAGGGAUGGAGAUGUUCAAACUAGCAGCUACUGCAAAGGUGGGUCUGUGACCCAAUUGGAUUAUUUGGGAGCCACGACUCUGAUGGUUGUAGCCCCGGGGGGAGCAGAACUGGACGGAAACGUUUUCAGCGUUACUACAAGACCAAGAGGUAGUAGAAUAAUGCCGGUGCAGCUCGACCAGGACGUCGUCGUCACCAUUCAUAGAAACGCUGCAGAGCCGGAGUGCAGUGUGUGCGUGGGCAAGGCCCCCGAACAGACCUGUGACCCCCAGUACCAGAGGCUGACCUACAGCCCCGACAUGUCUGUGGAGUUUACAUGUCCCAACCCGCAGGAAAUCUUCAAAAUGGACAUAAACAGAGAAAUAGGUGAGGAUAUUUGACUGCUUUUUAUUUAAUUUCAAAAGGUUGGGGCUGCUCUGCUGGUUGCAAAAUAUCUUUUUUCAUUUUAGAUUUAAAUAGUAAAGAAAAACAAUGUUUUGAAUUGAUGAUAUUUUUAACUCAUGGAUGUUGAGAAAAGGCUACAGUGUUGUCCAUCAUACUUUAAAAACCGUAUCAGGAGACAAAUGAUUAAAGCUGAGAUCUGCGCUGUUUGGCCUGCAUGCGCUGCCCCUGCUGCCCACCCAUUACCCCCUUUUUGCCUUUAAUUCCAUAACAACCGUUUUAUAUUCUGGAUGCGUGGG
Oryzias sinensis (Chinese medaka) is the source of this 1722-nucleotide long non-coding RNA. NCBI's taxonomy places the organism in Eukaryota, Metazoa, Chordata, Actinopteri, Beloniformes, Adrianichthyidae. The record is from Ensembl.